GGGCUGGCUUUAGCCCAGCAGUUCCUUCAAGUCUGGCUUCCCAACCGCCCGGGCUGAUUAGACUGGUGGUUCCAGACCCGCGGGUGCUCUCCAGUCCUUUU
This 101-nucleotide vault RNA is filed under the name Cavia porcellus (domestic guinea pig). Its description in RNAcentral is "Vault RNA (ENSCPOG00000040704.1)". It matches the Rfam family "Vault RNA". Rfam says of the family: This family of RNAs are found as part of the enigmatic vault ribonucleoprotein complex. The complex consists of a major vault protein (MVP), two minor vault proteins (VPARP and TEP1), and several small untranslated RNA molecules. It has been suggested that the vault complex is involved in drug resistance. Lineage: Eukaryota; Metazoa; Chordata; Mammalia; Rodentia; Caviidae. The record is from Rfam by way of RNAcentral.